RNAcentral lists this ribosomal RNA (252 nucleotides) under uncultured bacterium. RNAcentral describes it as "partial 16S ribosomal RNA". It matches the Rfam family "Bacterial small subunit ribosomal RNA", at positions 524 to 776 of the family's 1533-position model. The record is from RNAcentral.
UACAGGGGGGGCAAGCGUUGUUCGGAAUUACUGGGCGUAAAGGGUUCGUAGGUGGCCAACUAAGUCAGACGUGAAAUCCCUCAGCUUAACUGGGGAACUGCGUCUGAUACUGGAUGGCUUGAGUGUAGGAGAGGAAUGCGGAAUUCCAGGUGUAGCGGUGAAAUGCGUAGAUAUCUGGAGGAACACCGGUGGCGAAGGCGGCAUUCUGGACUACAACUGACACUGAGGAACGAAAGCCAGGGAGCAAACGGG